RNAcentral lists this non-coding RNA (24 nucleotides) under Arabidopsis thaliana (thale cress). The record is from RNAcentral. Lineage: Eukaryota; Viridiplantae; Streptophyta; Magnoliopsida; Brassicales; Brassicaceae.
GAUGGACUCGAGCCGCGAGCAAUG